AAGACCUUUUCUAAAAAGAGGGAAAACUUCAAAACUGCAUUUGAUUGUCAUACAUUCAGUUCAUCUGGAGGGUAUAUGCUUAAGAAAGGUCAAUUACUAGUGGAUUUACUACAUUGCGGAGCUGGGGUAUUGUUUGAUAAAUGUAAUUCGUUCUUGAGCAAUGAGGAUCUGUUAAGGUACAUGAGAAAGAAUUUCUGCUGAAAGAUUUGAAAGUCGAAAACAUGUUGGGUGAUGAUAGAAAAUUGGGAGAGAUCUGUUCAAGGAGAGUAUACAGAAUAUUGAUGGCUCAAUGUGGAAGCAUCAAGACAGAUGACAUUGAGAGCGGGGCUGAUUUCUUCAGCCACCACUCUGCUGAAUAAUUCUUUUUUCUUUGUUGGGGUUAUCGAUUGUGACAAGGCUGCUUUGGGUGCAUCUUGACUAAUUCACUGUUUAACCUAUCUAGCCAACAAGCGCAGGUUGCCAAGGCAAUCAUGCCCAUCAAGAUUGGAGCAAAUGGGCUACUGGUUGGAGCAAAUCCCAUCUAAGAAUUCCCUUUCUAAAAAAGAAUUAGUAUAUUAAUUGUAUAUAUUCCUUUUUGAAUUUUGGUUGCCGUAAUAGUAGGUAAAGAGUUGGUGUUAACUGCAUUGAAAUGAUAGCUUAGCUGUCCUCUUUAAUUGUUCUAUUUUCUGAAAGUAGUCUCAGCAUUUACCAAAUAUGUUUAUUUUUCAUUUAGUUGAUUAAUAUUUCUCACAUGGCUUCUCA
Nicotiana attenuata is the source of this 741-nucleotide long non-coding RNA. RefSeq lists it as uncharacterized. Lineage: Eukaryota; Viridiplantae; Streptophyta; Magnoliopsida; Solanales; Solanaceae. The record is from RefSeq and is a predicted model, not a curated record. The transcript is spliced from 2 exons.